Molecule: transfer RNA, 68 nt
Filed under: Crax daubentoni
Lineage: Eukaryota; Metazoa; Chordata; Aves; Galliformes; Cracidae
Also listed under: 4 other names
Description: tRNA-Glu
Rfam family: tRNA
About the family: Transfer RNA (tRNA) molecules are approximately 80 nucleotides in length.
Source: RNAcentral
GUUCCUGUAGUUGAGAACAACAAUGGUUUUUCAAGCCAUAGGUCUUGGUUAGAGUCCAAGUGGGAAUA